CAGUAGCCGCGGGAAUACAGAGGGUGCAAGCGUUAAUCGGAUUUACUGGGCGUAAAGGGCGCGUAGGUGGUUAUGUAAGUGAGAUGUGAAAUCCCCGGGCUCAACCUGGGAACUGCAUCUUAUACUGCGUAGCUGGAGUGCAGUAGAGGGUAGUGGAAUUUCCAGUGUAGAGGUGAAAUUCGUAGAUAUUCGGAAGAACACCAGUGGCGAAGGCGACUACCUGGUCUGGCAUUGACGCUCAUGUGCGAAAGCGUGGGGAGCAAACAGGAUUAGAUACCCCCGUAGUCCCUGUCUCUUAUAC
Molecule: ribosomal RNA, 301 nt
Filed under: uncultured bacterium
Lineage: Bacteria
Description: partial 16S ribosomal RNA
Rfam family: Bacterial small subunit ribosomal RNA
Source: RNAcentral